UCCCAGGUUUUGAACUUGUCACAGGAGUGAUUCUGUCUGAUCUCAGAAGCUAAGCAGGGUUGGGCCUGGUUAGUACUUGGAGGGGAGACCACCUGGGAAUACCAGAUGCUGUAGGAC
RNAcentral lists this ribosomal RNA (117 nucleotides) under Monodelphis domestica (gray short-tailed opossum). Lineage: Eukaryota; Metazoa; Chordata; Mammalia; Didelphimorphia; Didelphidae. The record is from RNAcentral.